RNAcentral lists this long non-coding RNA (234 nucleotides) under Homo sapiens (human). RNAcentral's name for it is "HSALNT0078493". The record is from RNAcentral. Lineage: Eukaryota; Metazoa; Chordata; Mammalia; Primates; Hominidae.
AUACAAGCCAUCUGAAAGACCCUUGAGAACUACCAGUGAAUUCUGGAGCACUCUUGAGGGAAAUUAGACAUGAAUGGUUUGCUUGUGGAACAGGUAACACCAGAAUUUCUAUUGCCUGAAAACAUACUCAAGUGAACUUGUUCUCAGUUUCCAUCAGUAGCUUUUUUCUUCUCUAUUUUCUCCAGCAGAGUAAAAGGAUUCCCAGGAACCAUGAGAUUGGGUAUUAAAUCUCCG